AUAUCUCUCCGUACGGGAAGGAUGAGAAGCUUCGACUAAGGUUCGAUUCGAGCGAAAGCGAGAAAGCGUUGCCGCAGGCA
Molecule: small RNA, 80 nt
Filed under: Salmonella enterica subsp. enterica serovar O rough
Lineage: Bacteria; Pseudomonadati; Pseudomonadota; Gammaproteobacteria; Enterobacterales; Enterobacteriaceae
Description: partial RtT sRNA
Rfam family: RtT RNA
About the family: This family represents a bacterial cis-regulatory element known as RtT RNA. The exact function of RtT is unknown although it is thought that it may be involved in changing the cellular response in relation to amino acid starvation.
Source: RNAcentral